RNAcentral lists this transfer RNA (67 nucleotides) under Vibrio cholerae HC-59B1. RNAcentral's name for it is "partial tRNA-Met". It matches the Rfam family "tRNA", at positions 1 to 62 of the family's 71-position model. From Rfam's summary of the family: Transfer RNA (tRNA) molecules are approximately 80 nucleotides in length. Their secondary structure includes four short double-helical elements and three loops (D, anti-codon, and T loops). Further hydrogen bonds mediate the characteristic L-shaped molecular structure. tRNAs have two regions of fundamental functional importance: the anti-codon, which is responsible for specific mRNA codon recognition, and the 3' end, to which the tRNAs corresponding amino acid is attached (by aminoacyl-tRNA synthetases). tRNAs cope with the degeneracy of the genetic code in two manners: having more than one tRNA (with a specific anti-codon) for a particular amino acid; and 'wobble' base-pairing, i.e. permitting non-standard base-pairing at the 3rd anti-codon position. The record is from RNAcentral. Lineage: Bacteria; Pseudomonadati; Pseudomonadota; Gammaproteobacteria; Vibrionales; Vibrionaceae.
GUGGCUACGUAGCUCAGUUGGUUAGAGCACAUCACUCAUAAUGAUGGGGUCACAGGUUCGAAUCCCG